Phrynosoma platyrhinos (Desert horned lizard) is the source of this 73-nucleotide non-coding RNA. Lineage: Eukaryota; Metazoa; Chordata; Lepidosauria; Squamata; Phrynosomatidae. The record is from the annotation of a GenBank genome assembly.
GCCUGUGUGGUGCAAUGGUUAGAGAGUUGGACUAGGACUCUGAAGACCAGGGUUUGAAUUCCUAGCUUGGCCA